GGUUAAGCGACUAAGCGUACACGGUGGAUGCCCUGGCAGUCAGAGGCGAUGAAGGACGUGCUAAUCUGCGAUAAGCGUCGGUAAGGUGAUAUGAACCGUUAUAACCGGCGAUUUCCGAAUGGGGAAACCCAGUGUGUUUCGACACACUAUCAUUAACUGAAUCCAUAGGUUAAUGAGGCGAACCGGGGGAACUGAAACAUCUAAGUACCCCGAGGAAAAGAAAUCAACCGAGAUUCCCCCAGUAGCGGCGAGCGAACGGGGAGGAGCCCAGAGCCUGAAUCAGUGUGUGUGUUAGUGGAAGCGUCUGGAAAGGCGCGCGAUACAGGGUGACAGCCCCGUACACAAAAAUGCACAUACUGUGAGCUCGAUGAGUAGGGCGGGACACGUGGUAUCCUGUCUGAAUAUGGGGGGACCAUCCUCCAAGGCUAAAUACUCCUGACUGACCGAUAGUGAACCAGUACCGUGAGGGAAAGGCGAAAAGAACCCCGGCGAGGGGAGUGAAAAAGAACCUGAAACCGUGUACGUACAAGCAGUGGGAGCCUCUUUUAUGGGGUGACUGCGUACCUUUUGUAUAAUGGGUCAGCGACUUAUAUUCUGUAGCAAGGUUAACCGAAUAGGGGAGCCGAAGGGAAACCGAGUCUUAACUGGGCGUUAAGUUGCAGGGUAUAGACCCGAAACCCGGUGAUCUAGCCAUGGGCAGGUUGAAGGUUGGGUAACACUAACUGGAGGACCGAACCGACUAAUGUUGAAAAAUUAGCGGAUGACUUGUGGCUGGGGGUGAAAGGCCAAUCAAACCGGGAGAUAGCUGGUUCUCCCCGAAAGCU
This 824-nucleotide ribosomal RNA is filed under the name Escherichia coli. RNAcentral's name for it is "partial 23S ribosomal RNA". It matches the Rfam family "Bacterial large subunit ribosomal RNA", at positions 1 to 867 of the family's 2925-position model. Lineage: Bacteria; Pseudomonadati; Pseudomonadota; Gammaproteobacteria; Enterobacterales; Enterobacteriaceae. The record is from RNAcentral.